UUGUAAAAGGCAAUAAUGCCCAUGCACGCAUGCAACAUAUGUGUACUAACUGACGGAAUAGGCCAAUUAGACUUGAUUUGCAGAUGACGCAAAAUAUAAUGACCAAAAUCAGAAAAUUGAAAGUGCAAUGACCUAAUUUAAAUUCGACCCUAACCCUAGUGACUAAAAAUAUAAUUACCCCUAAGAGUUUUAAUUUACAAAAGUUUUACAUUGAAGGUGACAGAACCCACCCCGAAUUCACUAUUGGAAUCCGAACACUAUGGUUGUCCGACAUCUAGCAAAUGUCGUGCCGACUUUACUAAACUACUCUUGACCUCGUUUAAAAC
Molecule: long non-coding RNA, 326 nt
Filed under: Prunus persica (peach)
Lineage: Eukaryota; Viridiplantae; Streptophyta; Magnoliopsida; Rosales; Rosaceae
Description: long non-coding RNA (PPER_LNC008236)
Source: RNAcentral